This 155-nucleotide ribosomal RNA is filed under the name Fusarium oxysporum f. sp. cyclaminis. Its description in RNAcentral is "partial 28S ribosomal RNA". It matches the Rfam family "Eukaryotic large subunit ribosomal RNA", at positions 3246 to 3399 of the family's 3401-position model. The record is from RNAcentral. Lineage: Eukaryota; Fungi; Ascomycota; Sordariomycetes; Hypocreales; Nectriaceae.
CUCGAGCGCGUCGUGGUAUUUCGCGUAUUGUAAUUUCAACACGAGCGGGGUCAAAUCCUUUGCAGACGACUUAGCUGUGCGAAACGGUCCUGUAAGCAGUAGAGUAGCCUUGUUGUUACGAUCUGCUGAGGGUAAGCCGUCCUUCGCCUCGAUUU